RNAcentral lists this ribosomal RNA (1886 nucleotides) under human oral metagenome. RNAcentral's name for it is "bacterial LSU rRNA". It matches the Rfam family "Bacterial large subunit ribosomal RNA", at positions 335 to 1977 of the family's 2925-position model. The record is from RNAcentral.
GAACGAGUUGGAAAGCUCAGCCGGAGACUGUGAUAGCCAGGUAUGCGAAAACGACGCUGACCUUAUUCUGUAUUCUCGAGUAGGUCGGGGCACGAGAAACCCUGAUUGAAUCCGGCUGGACCACCAGCCAAGGCUAAAUAUAGUAUAUGAUCGAUAGUGAACUAGUACGGUGACGGAAAGGUGAAAAGAACCCCGGGAGGGGAGUGAAAUAGAACCUGAAAUUUUGUGCCUACAAGGAGUCGGAGCCCAGCACCUUUGAAAUCGAGUGGUACAAUGUAGACAGAUGUUCUACGUGUACGUUUUGCAAAGUGAUCGGGAAUCAGAUCAAAUUUACUUCGGUCAGACCAGUGACUUAAGACGACGUCUCUCGGAGCAUAAUUCUGGCAAGGAUAUUUAUACCAAGAUAUAUGCGCCAUGGAAGGUUGUCUAUUAUGAAGCCUAUUCAUCACGUAAGCUAGCAAUGGCUCGUGAGAGGCAGUUGAAAGCUUAUGGACAAGCUAGGACUGCUCUGAAGAAGAGACUAAAUUUGAUCUGAUACUCGAUUUCAAAGGUGCUGGGUGACGGCGUGCUUUUUGUAGAACGAUCCAGCGAGUUAAUUUUUACGGCGAGGUUAAGUCAGAUGAUGAAGCCAUAGUGAAAGCGAGCAUUAACAGUGCGAUUUAGUCGUAAGGAUUAGACCCGAAACCAGGUGACCUAACCAUGAGCAGGUUGAAGCAACCUUAAUCGGUUGUGGAGGACCGAACCAGUGUAUAUUGCAAAAUGCUUGGAUGACUUGUGGUUAGCGGUGAAAUGCCAAUCGAACUUGGAGAUAGCUGGUUCUCCGCGAAAUAGUUAUAGGACUAGCGUCGUGUGAUAGCUUACGGGGGUAGAGCUCUGUCAAGAGAUAGGGGGAGCAAUCCUACCUACUCUUAAUAAACUACGAAUACCGUAUGUCUGUAUCACGGCAGUUAGAACGUCGGUGCUAAGAUCGGCGCUCAAAAGGGAAACAGCCCAGACCAUCAUCUAAGGUCCCCAAAUUUACGCUAAGUGGGAAACAAGGUGGAAUUUCUUAAACAGCUAGGAUGUUGGCUUAGAAGCAGCCAUUCAUUUAAAGAGUGCGUAACAGCUCACUAGUCAAGAGAUUCUGCGUGGAAGAUAUAACGGGGCUAAGCGUAAUACCGAAGAUAUGGAUUGCAAUUUAUUGCAGUGGUAGCGGAGCGUUCCUAUCGGCAGUGAAGCCGGACUGUUAAGUACCGGUGGAGCGUUAGGAAGUGAGAAUGCUGGAACGAGUAACCAUAAGACAGGUGAGAAUCCUGUCGGCCGAAAGAGCGAGGUUUCCUGGGCUAUGGUAAUCAUCCCAGGGUUAGUCGGGCCUAAGCCGAGGCGUUUAGCGUAGGCGAUGGACAUCAGGUUAAUAUUCCUGAACUAGUCAAACUUUGUAUGCAGUUAGCGAUGAGAUAGGUGGAGCGGAUUCAUGGUUUAUCCGUUCAAGUGAUAGAGGAAUCUUGAUCGAGCAAAAGUGAACCUACGGGUUUACGAUUCCGCUGAAGGCAUUGACCAGAAAAGCUGGCAUACGCAUGGGUUUGGCUACCCGUACCGCAAACCGACACAGGUGCUCGAGUCGAGGAGACUAAGGCUUACGAGAGAAUGAUUGCUAAGGAACUCGGCAAUACAGCGACCGUAACUUCGGAAUAAGGUCUGCCUACAUUUGUAGGCCGCAGCUAAAGAGCCCACGGAACUGUUUAUCAAAAACUCAGGUCUCUGCUAACACGAAAGUGGAUGUAUAGGGGCUGAAACCUGCCCGGUGCCGGAAGGUUAAGGGGAUUGCUUCACGGUGAGAACUGAAGCCCCGGUGAACGGCGGCGGUAACUAUAACCGUCCUAAGGUAGCGAAAUUCCUUGUCAGGU